GCCCUCUUAGCUCAGCCGGAUAGAGCAGCCGCCUCCUAAGCGGCAGGUCGCAGGUUCGAAUCCUGCAGAGGGCGCCA
This 77-nucleotide transfer RNA is filed under the name Halomonas koreensis. Its description in RNAcentral is "tRNA-Arg". It matches the Rfam family "tRNA". Rfam says of the family: Transfer RNA (tRNA) molecules are approximately 80 nucleotides in length. Their secondary structure includes four short double-helical elements and three loops (D, anti-codon, and T loops). RNAcentral also lists the same sequence under 2 other names. The record is from RNAcentral. Lineage: Bacteria; Pseudomonadati; Pseudomonadota; Gammaproteobacteria; Oceanospirillales; Halomonadaceae.